CUCUCAACAACCUUUAAAAUAUCGGCUGUAAUUUAGUGACUGCAUACGCUGAUUCCAACUUUAACUUACCUGAUAAUGAGCUAAUUCACCUUAGGGAGGUUAAUCAGUAUACUGUAUAAUUCAAGAGACUAAGACUUUUAAGGUUCUCCAUUUUUUUUACAAUUGUUUUAAAAUUGAUAUACAGUUUUCAUUUAUAUUUUGUGUAAAUUCAUGUUUAAAUUUAAAAUUGUGACUCCAAGCACACUUAGUAAUUAACCUCUGAUGCAUUUUAAAUCAAAAAUCACAUUUAAAAACAAAUACUACUGAGAUUAAUAUAUUGAUGCUAUAUACAAACAUGACUACAAACUAAACCAACAGGGUCCUAGAACUGCGGUCCUGAAACUGCAGCCAUCGCUAUAUCAUCCAUUACGGUAGGUGGCGCUGUCACGAAAAACUAGGGUCCUAGAACUGCGGUCCUAGAUCUGUGGUCCUGAAACUGCAGCCUCCAGUUGUGCAGGAACAUACUAUUGUAAAAAAGAGACCACAGUUUCUUCAGUGCUUGUGCCCUUGCUGUCAUCUUUUCAUGGUACCCAUGUAGAUCCUCCGUCAGAUACAGUGUGAUCUGAAGCUACAGUAAAAGAUAUUUCCAUAUUCAAGUGUUUGGGAGCAGAGUGUUUCAAUGCAUUUUUGUAAAAUGAAUUUAAAAAUGAAGAAUAUCUGCUGGAAGUUGUUGGGAAACAGCAACUCUGGUACUCACUGAAAAUGGGAAGUGAAACAACUAGUGUGCCACUGGUAACAAUGAAGCCUGCAGAUGAAAACCCACCAGCACCUGCUCGGACUACACCCCUAACUCACCAGACCAUUGAGAGAAUUAUGGAGCGGCUGCAGCAAGCAAAGACUUGUUGUGCUUGUGGACAGCCAAAGUCUCACUUUGAGUGCCAUUGUUCCUCACCAGCAAGGCCCUGUCAGAUACUUCCACUGUUCCACAAAGGUUUUUAAUGCUUCCAGUGAAGAAGGGCUAACAAAGAAUGCCACAUGUUCAUUGCCCCGCUAAAGUCUUUUCUGGUUACCAACCUCAGGGCAUGCAGAAAAAAGAUGACCUGGAAAGAGUUUGCAUUUUACAAGAAAAAA
This is a long non-coding RNA of Cyprinus carpio carpio, 1110 nucleotides long. NCBI's taxonomy places the organism in Eukaryota, Metazoa, Chordata, Actinopteri, Cypriniformes, Cyprinidae. The record is from Ensembl.